GCUGUUUUUCUGUUUAAUGUUGCUUUGAAAAUGCAAGGGAGGAUAAGGAUUUUUGAGGAUGCAGACACAUGGCCAGCAGCAGAUGUACGCUGUUGUAUUUUCACAAGGCUAUGGUGGAUGUAAUGUGGCUGUCAAAGAGUUGUCCGUAAAACUUGUUUUUGCAGGAGGGCCAAAGAGCUUAAAAAAGAAGUCACCCACUGUGCCCAAACCUCCAGGCUCAGGACUGUGGCAGCUGCAGCCUUGAACAUAAAAAUGGCAGGACAUAAAAACAAAAAAUCUUCAAGCACUCAUUUAUGUCAUGUCAUGUUUUUUGGUUUGGUUAUUGUUUUUUUCGUGUUGCAAGAUUUCGCAUCAUUUCACACAUGUCAUUUUGUACUUCUAUUUUUCUCAGCAAUUACUGAUGGAUUGUUUACUUUCUGUGUUGAAAUGUUACCAUUUCCCAGAAAAAAUGACUAGAGAAUACUACAGAAUGGUGUAAUAAAAAAUUCAGUGAUGAAAGGAAAACAUGUGAAAAAUUGAAAUAAUACAUAAGUAAAUGUAUGUGAAAUAAA
Molecule: non-coding RNA, 551 nt
Organism: Doryrhamphus excisus (bluestripe pipefish)
Lineage: Eukaryota; Metazoa; Chordata; Actinopteri; Syngnathiformes; Syngnathidae
Source: RefSeq, a predicted model, not a curated record